AGGCAUGAACUCAGCAAGCCUCCCAUUAGGGCUUCUAUGCUUCGCCUUGCACAGGAUGUAAAAUUAAUGAGUGCCCAAUAGACUAGCCCCCGCGCUGCGUGGGGCAAUUCUAAAUGCCACGUUCAGGUGACGGUCGCCUGGUGUUACCUCGACCGCCUGUCCUAUAGAACCCGCCUCCUGAACACAGUCUACUCAGCGAGCCUCUCCUUCACCGAGAAACAGUUGUGACGUCAACAUUUGCACGAGACCUCACUCAUGCGGGCGGGGGAGAGCAACAAUGUUGCAGCACAAUUUUACUUUUAGAUUUCAUUGGAAAAAGAAGCAGAAUGGUUCAAUAUGCAUGUGGCUAUCCAUAAUUUAAACAUUAUAUUGAAUAUGAUAAGAAUGAUAAAGAAGGCUACAUAUUAAACAUGUGAUCAAUAAUA
Homarus americanus (American lobster) is the source of this 425-nucleotide long non-coding RNA. RefSeq lists it as uncharacterized. NCBI's taxonomy places the organism in Eukaryota, Metazoa, Arthropoda, Malacostraca, Decapoda, Nephropidae. The record is from RefSeq and is a predicted model, not a curated record. The transcript has 2 exons.